UGGAGCUGAAAUCAGUCGAAGAUACCAGCUGGCUGCAACUGUUUAUUAAAAACACAGCACUGUGCAAACACGAAAGUGGACGUAUACGGUGUGACGCCUGCCCGGUGCCGGAAGGUUAAUUGAUGGGGUUAGCGGUAACGCGAAGCUCUUGAUCGAAGCCCCGGUAAACGGCGGCCGUAACUAUAACGGUCCUAAGGUAGCGAAAUUCCUUGUCGGGUAAGUUCCGACCUGCACGAAUGGCGUAAUGAUGGCCAGGCUGUCUCCACCCGAGACUCAGUGAAAUUGAACUCGCUGUGAAGAUGCAGUGUACCCGCGGCAAGACGGAAAGACCCCGUGAACCUUUACUAUAGCUUGACACUGAACAUUGAGCCUUGAUGUGUAGGAUAGGUGGGAGGCUUAGAAGUGUGGACGCCAGUCUGCAUGGAGCCGACCUUGAAAUACCACCCUUUAAUGUUUGAUGUUCUAACGUGGACCCGUAAUCCGGGUUGCGGACAGUGUCUGGUGGGUAGUUUGACUGGGGCGGUCUCCUCCUAAAGAGUAACGGAGGAGCACGAAGGUUGGCUAAUCCUGGUCGGACAUCAGGAGGUUAGUGCAAUGGCAUAAGCCAGCUUGACUGCGAGCGUGACGGCGCGAGCAGGUGCGAAAGCAGGUCAUAGUGAUCCGGUGGUUCUGAAUGGAAGGGCCAUCGCUCAACGGAUAAAAGGUACUCCGGGGAUAACAGGCUGAUACCGCCCAAGAGUUCAUAUCGACGGCGGUGUUUGGCACCUCGAUGUCGGCUCAUCACAUCCUGGGGCUGAAGUAGGUCCCAAGGGUAUGGCUGUUCGCCAUUUAAAGUGGUACGCGAGCUGGGUUUAGAACGUCGUGAGACAGUUCGGUCCCUAUCUGCCGUGGGCGCUGGAGAACUGAGGGGGGCUGCUCCUAGUACGAGAGGACCGGAGUGGACGCAUCACUGGUGUUCGGGUUGUCAUGCCAAUGGCACUGCCCGGUAGCUAAAUGCGGAAGAGAUAAGUGCUGAAAGCAUCUAAGCACGAAACUUGCCCCGAGAUGAGUUCUCCCUGACUCCUUGAGAGUCCUGAAGGAACGUUGAAGACGACGACGUUGAUAGGCCGGGUGUGUAAGCGCAGCGAUGCGUUGAGCUAACCGGUACUAAUGAACCGUGAGGCUUAACCUUACAACGCCGAAG
RNAcentral lists this ribosomal RNA (1183 nucleotides) under Escherichia coli. Its description in RNAcentral is "partial 23S ribosomal RNA". It matches the Rfam family "Bacterial large subunit ribosomal RNA", at positions 1762 to 2925 of the family's 2925-position model. The record is from RNAcentral. Lineage: Bacteria; Pseudomonadati; Pseudomonadota; Gammaproteobacteria; Enterobacterales; Enterobacteriaceae.